UUCGACUCGAGCGAAGCGAGAGAACGUUGCCGCAGGCAACGGCCCGAAGAGCGAGGCGCUUUAGCGCCGAGUAAUCCUUCCCCCACCACCA
This 91-nucleotide small RNA is filed under the name Klebsiella pneumoniae. Its description in RNAcentral is "partial RtT sRNA". It matches the Rfam family "RtT RNA", at positions 42 to 130 of the family's 130-position model. Rfam says of the family: This family represents a bacterial cis-regulatory element known as RtT RNA. The exact function of RtT is unknown although it is thought that it may be involved in changing the cellular response in relation to amino acid starvation. Lineage: Bacteria; Pseudomonadati; Pseudomonadota; Gammaproteobacteria; Enterobacterales; Enterobacteriaceae. The record is from RNAcentral.